Molecule: long non-coding RNA, 1365 nt
Filed under: Betta splendens (Siamese fighting fish)
Lineage: Eukaryota; Metazoa; Chordata; Actinopteri; Anabantiformes; Osphronemidae
Description: lncRNA (ENSBSLG00000023401.1)
Source: RNAcentral
AUGUUCUCCGUCUCCAUCGUCAACGCGGCCGUUCGGAGCUGUGGACGCAGGGUCUCCGGUGCCUGUCGUGGUGGUAAUCCCCGAACCCGGUGGUGGACGCCGGAGGUAAGGGACGCCAUCAAGCUGAAGAAGGAGUCCUACCAGGUAUGGUUGACCUGUAGGACUCCUGAGGCAGCUGAUGGGUACCGGCAGGCCAAACGUGCUGCAGCCCGUGCCGUUGCGGAGGCAAAAACUCGGGCUUGGGAGGAGUUCGGGGAGGCCAUGGAGGAGGACUAUCGCUCGGCCUCAAAGAGAUUCUGGCAAACCGUCCGGCGCCUCAGGAGGGGGAAGCAGUUCUUUACCAACUCUGUUUUCAGUGGAGGUGGGGAGCUGUUGACCUCAACUGGGGAUGUUAUCGGACGGUGGAAGGAGUACUUUGAGGAUCUCCUCAACCCCUCCGACAUGCCUUCUGCUGAGGAAGCAGAGGCAGGGGACUCAGAGGCGGACUCGCCCAUCACCCAGGCUGAGGUCACCGAGGUAGUUAGUAAGCUCCUCGGUGGCAGAGCAGCGGGGGUGGAUGAGAUCCGUCCUGAGUACCUCAAGUCUCUGGAUGUUGUGGUGCUGUCUUGGGUGACACGCCUCUGCAACAUCGCGUGGAGGAGGGGGACAGUUCCUCUGGACUGGACAACCGGGGUGGUUGUCCCUCUUUACAAAAAGGGGGACAGGAGACUGUGUUCCAACUAUAGGGGGAUCACACUUCUCAGCCUCCCUGGGAAAGUCUAUGCCAGGGUACUGGAGAGGAGAAUUCGGCCGAUAGUCGAACCUCGGAUACAGGAGGAACAAUGUGGUUUUCGGCCUGGUCGUGGAACGCUGGACCAGCUUUAUAUCCUCAGCAGGGUGCUUGAGGGUUUGUGGGAGUUUGCCCAACCAGUCUACAUGUGCUUUGUGGAUCUGGAGAAGGCAUUCGACCGCGUCCCUCGUGACAUCCUGUGGGGGGUGCUCCGGGAGUAUGGAGUCCAGGGCCCUCUGGGGAGGUGUUCCGGGCAUGUCCCACCGGUAGGAGGCCCCGAGGAAGACCCAGGACUCGCUGGAGAGACUACGUCUCUCGGCUGGCCUGGGAACGUCUUGGGGUCCCACCGGAAGAGCUGGAGGAAGUGUCCGGGGAGAGGGAAGUCUGGAACUCUCUGCUUAGACUGCUGCCCCCGCGACCCGGCCCCGGAUAAGCGGAUGAAAAUGGAUGGAUGGAUGGAUGGAUGGAAGUUGCGCAGAACAAGGCUGAGUGCACUCCUGAGCGGUCAUCACCUCCAUUUUUCCAUCUUUCUCCUGCACUACUGCAAACCCUGCUUUAAGCUCCGACCCCUGCCUAUAGCAAGAUCCAUCCACAAA